RNAcentral lists this ribosomal RNA (648 nucleotides) under uncultured bacterium. RNAcentral describes it as "bacterial SSU rRNA". It matches the Rfam family "Bacterial small subunit ribosomal RNA", at positions 28 to 650 of the family's 1533-position model. The record is from RNAcentral.
AAUGAACGCUGGCGGCGUGCCUAACACAUGCAAGUCGAACGAGAAAGCGGGCUUCGGCCUGUGAGUAAAGUGGCAGACGGGUGAGUAACACGUGGGUAACCUGCCCUGAGGUGGGGGAUAACCCUCCGAAAGGAGGGCUAAUACCGCAUGAUAUCUCGAGUUCUUCGGGACACGAGAUCAAAGCUAGCCUCUACAUGUAUGCUGGCGCCAUUGGAGGGGCCCGCGUCCCAUUAGCUUGUUGGUGAGGUAACGGCUCACCAAGGCUGCGAUGGGUAGCCGGCCUGAGAGGGUGAUCGGCCACACUGGAACUGAGACACGGUCCAGACUCCUACGGGAGGCAGCAGUGAGGAAUUUUGCGCAAUGGGCGAAAGCCUGACGCAGCGACGCCGCGUGGAGGACGAAGGCCUUCGGGUCGUAAACUCCUGUCAAGCGGGACGAAUCCUGAGAGGAUGAAUAAGCCUCUCAGUUGACGGUACCGCUGGAGGAAGCCCCGGCUAACUCCGUGCCAGCAGCCGCGGUAAUACGGAGGGGGCCAGCGUUGUUCGGAAUUAUUGGGCGUAAAGGGCGCGUAGGCGGCUGUGCAAGUCGGUGGUGAAAGCCCUCGGCUCAACCGAGGAAUUGCCCCCGAAACUGCACGGCUGGAGUCCC